UACGUAGGGUGAAAGCGUUAAUCGGAAUUACUGGGCGUAAAGCGUGCGCAGGCGGUUGUGCAAGACAGAUGUGAAAUCCCCGGGCUUAACCUGGGAACUGCAUUUGUGACUGCACGGCUAGAGUGUGUCAGAGGGGGGUAGAAUUCCACGUGUAGCAGUGAAAUGCGUAGAUAUGUGGAGGAAUACCGAUGGCGAAGGCAGCCCCCUGGGAUAACACUGACGCUCAUGCACGAAAGCGUGGGGAGCAAACAGG
Molecule: ribosomal RNA, 253 nt
Filed under: uncultured bacterium
Lineage: Bacteria
Description: partial 16S ribosomal RNA
Rfam family: Bacterial small subunit ribosomal RNA
Source: RNAcentral